AAAAAAUCCUAGAACUUUUGAUCAAGAGGCAAAGCUGAACUUUUUCACUGGGUUCCAAGGAAAGUCAACACCUCUUAAAAACAUCAAGGGAAAAAAAGGCUGUUGACAUUAAUAUUUUUGCAUAGUGAAACCACUAUAUUGUCUCAGACCUACAGAGGUACUGUGUAGUAUCUCAUCCCAUGCCUUGGCUUGGUUGUGCAAGAGAAGCAGUUUGUCAGCACCCAAUCUGGCAAAGCAAUCUGAACACACGAGAGGUUGCUUUCUUAUAUCGGUUGGUCCGUACACACCGGAUAUAAAAUUAAUCUUGUUAUUUAGUAUUUUUAUUUGCUUAGCUGGAAAAGAAUGUUUUACGAGACAUUCUUAGGUUAGCGAUGUCUGUCUUGUAGCUAUCCCUUUUGUGAUUAUUAGGAAAGAUAAAUUUACUUGUCUUCUGAAAUAUUCAUAGUUCUGUUCCCAAAAUAGCAGACUGCUGACAUUCCGAUAAAAAGUACUGCAUAGAAAGUCUAUGAGGAAAAUAUGUCCAAGUGUAUAUAAAGAGAAGCAUGAAAUGUGUUAAGCUAUGAGGAAUGUUCUUUCUUACCUACACAGAAUUAUUAUUAUUUGUCUUAAAAUACACCAAGUCUUUUUUCUACAUGCUUCUUGGGGAAAAGCAGUUAGGAAAAUAUAGGACAGAAUGCCAGCAGUAAUCAUGAUUCCAUACCAGAUAGUCCUCUGGAUCAAAGACCGGAUGGUUCAGGGGUAGAACCUUCAGUAACUACAGCUACUCUUGAAAACCACCCAAGUUUGGACUGCCCAGUUUCUUCGGAAAUCGAAGCUCAGUCUCCUGAGAGGAGGCAUGAAUAGAACUGUUCUUGAAUCCAGCUCACGGCACUGAAUUCUGCUGUUGGCAAUCAGAAGACAGAUGUGGGAGUUUGAGACCUCACUUCUCUUCCUCUUGGCAAUAGUAACCUGACACAGCCAGAGCUUUUAAAAUAUUUAAUGCCUUUUCUGUGACAAAACCUGAGGCCUGUUGCAGGAACGAUUUGGAAGGCUAAGCAAAAGCGGCCGGGUUAAUAACUAGCAAAGGAGCACGCUAUUUCAUCUGAAGUUGUUUCCCCAUUCCCCGCACCUGAAUGGAAGUGUUGUAAACAAACACAUUAUGAUUGUCUUCAUAAUUUUCUGGAUUGUAAUUAAUUUUCACAGACAAACCACCACCACCACCUCGCCAUUCAGUUCCAUUUCCUCUUGCUUAAUGCAAGAGGAACAUUUUAAUUCAAUAUUAGGGAAAGGGAAGACAAGAGCUCAUAGCGGUUUUUCUUAAGACAGUGAUUAUUUAUUAUGAGGUGCAGGCUUCCCUGGAGCAGUUCUGUAACCGACCGAAACUUAAGAGAAAAUACCAUAGUUAAAUACGGAAAUGAAGGAAGGAGCCACAUAGAAUUCUGUCUUUUGCAAAGACUUCUCAGAGGUGCUGAAGAACUUUUGGCUGGUAAAAGUUCUACGUGAAACAUCUGCUGAAGCCUUCCUAACCAGACAAGGGGCAUUUUUAUGUUGCCACGGCCAGGCCGGAGCGCAUUAGCAUUUUAGAAAGAACCAGUACAAGAAAAUGUGAUUGUCCAUAACCCUGCAAGAGCAGGAUAUGGGACGAGAUGUGCGGUGGUGGUGUUUGAAGACCUGAACUGUGAGGGUACAGUUGGAAGAUACUAAUGAUUUUAUAUGGGAUGAAUUUGCUCUAAUCACCGAAGAGGGAUUGUCCUACAGAAGCAGUCUAUGUGGAUUUUUUUUUGGUCUCUGGUGUAUGUGAUAGGGAAACAUGACUCCUUCACCUCAGACAGAUCUGAGAAGUUCAUAUUUGUAUAUCACAAUAACAACAAAGGGUCAGGUAUGUCUAGCUUUAUUAGAUUUUUGGGAGUGGUGAUGCUGAUAUCACUUCCCUAACUGAGGCCUGCAGUCUGUUCUAAAAGCCGGUAAUGAGAGGAUAUUCAGCAGCAGGCAUAUACCGGUACAUCAGCUGCUUCUUGAAAAGUUUUCUUAGCCAGGCCAAUAUAGUUUAUUUUAUGAUAGAAUAUGUUUAUUUAAGGGGAAAGGGAAUAAAAUUUAUAGAGUGUAUUUAAAGUGCCUGCGGAUUGGGAAGGGGUACAAAUCCUAAUUAUUGUAUAGGAAAGGAAGACAUAGUUAAUAAUAAAAGCAGCUAGAAAAAGAGAAAAAACGGAUAGAGCAUAUUGAUCAUGUUGUCUUAGCACUAUUUUGUCAAGAUAUUGACAUUCGGAUUUGACAUUUCACUGAAUUGAACCCAGUUCUCAUACAUUCUUUGUUAUUAUAGCUGAGGGAAAACGUUAGAAUCAAUUUUAUAGUGCUUAGGCUUCAAGCAUAUACUGUAUGUCAAACUUAGCCUUCCAUUAAAGGAGUCCCAUUCAUGUGUGGUUUUGCCCAGAUGGUUUUUGAGCCAGUGGGAUGCCAUUUAUGCUCCAGGGGCUGGUGUGGCUCAUAAAAUUAAACUUUCAGAUACUUUGAUUUUGAAUGCAGAAUAUGGAAUACCUUAAGAUAGAUGUUAAGGGUGUUUUCCUUACAUAAGCCUUAAGGGACUGUAACAAUCUGUACCUGGGACCAAAUAUUGGCAAGUAGUUAUUAGCUAUUUUUUGCACUUCAACUUAAAUGUACUGUAAAUUUCUCUUGACUUGUUUAAGUGACCUUUAAAAAUAAAAUCAGAAAUCUAUU
Non-coding RNA from Thamnophis sirtalis, 2694 nucleotides. The record is from RefSeq and is a predicted model, not a curated record. Lineage: Eukaryota; Metazoa; Chordata; Lepidosauria; Squamata; Natricidae.